ACGGGACAUUUCUGUCAAAUCCUCUAUUAUCGCUCGAUCCAUACAACAACAUUCAUUGGCUGAGAGUGUCAGCUGACCGCAAUUCUAUGCAACUCUAGCCCAGGCUGGCAGAUGACACCACAAUGACGCUGCCCGAGGUGGGUUUACAUCGCUAGUAACAGGCACCAUGACCUCUUGAGAUCACUGAAGUGUUUAUGUUGCUUGGAGUAACUCUCUAAGUUUAAGUAAUGGUUAUCUGAUUACAACCACCAUCUCUCCGUUAGUCAAAAUUAACCCUUUAUAAAAAAUUAUGUUCCCACUUUUCACACCUCACCUCACCGUUAUCAAUCAAGUACCAUCAUUUAUUUACCCUAGGGUAAAUUUCAGCAUAAAUAUGUAUACACAAGUGAUAACACUCUCACCAACACACACAAAACAGAGCACAUAAGAACCCAAAGAAAUGCAUCUUUCACUGUAUUUGCUAACCAGAGUUUACGACUUUUCAGGUUUAGCCAUGAUACCUGAUACAUGACAGACAAGAGGAGAAAAAACAAAAGUACCAUCAACUUAUGCAGCCCAUGAGAAAAGAAAAAAUAAAUAGAUUAAAGGUUACUUGAAGGGCGCUGCAAAUGCGAUUGUAUCAUAUACUCACAGAGUUUUGGAGGUUAAAAGGUGCUGUAUGAAGCAAAACUAU
Molecule: non-coding RNA, 673 nt
Organism: Pelobates cultripes (western spadefoot toad)
Lineage: Eukaryota; Metazoa; Chordata; Amphibia; Anura; Pelobatidae
Source: the annotation of a GenBank genome assembly